This 203-nucleotide unclassified non-coding RNA is filed under the name Hevea brasiliensis (rubber tree). Lineage: Eukaryota; Viridiplantae; Streptophyta; Magnoliopsida; Malpighiales; Euphorbiaceae. The record is from RNAcentral.
AUUCCAUCAGCAAUCUUGGCUGGCAAAUCCAUGGCCGCAUAUUCAAGAUUACAGCAACCAGAAACAUCAAGGGUCUCCAGUAAUUUUAACAUGCAAAUACUUUCUGGAAUCCUCCUCAACUUUGUACAACCAUUAAGGUUUAACAGAGUGAGUCCCUCUAGAUAUCCGAUAGAGUCAUCUACCUCUGUUAGAUUUAUACAGCG